Molecule: ribosomal RNA, 1266 nt
Filed under: Triticum aestivum (bread wheat)
Lineage: Eukaryota; Viridiplantae; Streptophyta; Magnoliopsida; Poales; Poaceae
Description: partial small subunit ribosomal RNA
Source: RNAcentral
AUGUUCGGGCGCGGGCCGCCGAAGAAGAGCGACAGCACGCGCUACUACGAGAUCCUGGGCGUGCCCAAGGACGCGUCCCAGGACGACCUCAAGAAGGCCUACCGCAAGGCCGCCAUCAAGAACCACCCCGACAAGGGAGGCGACCCAGAGAAGUUCAAGGAGCUAGCUCAGGCUUAUGAGGUUCUGAGUGAUCCUGAGAAGCGAGAGAUCUAUGACCAGUAUGGUGAGGAUGCCCUCAAGGAGGGAAUGGGAGGUGGAGGAAUGCAUGAUCCUUUUGACAUCUUCCAGUCAUUCUUUGGUGGUGGCGGCAACCCCUUCGGAGGUGGCGGGAGCAGUAGGGGCAGGCGGCAGCGCAGGGGUGAGGAUGUGGUUCAUCCUCUGAAGGUUAGCCUUGAGGAACUGUACAACGGAACAUCAAAGAAGCUCUCUCUUGCCCGCAAUGUGCUCUGCUCGAAGUGCAAUGGCAAGGGGUCAAAGUCCGGGGCUUCGAUGAAGUGUGCCGGCUGCCAAGGUGCUGGUUACAAGGUGCAGAUAAGGCAGCUGGGACCAGGAAUGAUUCAGCAAAUGCAGCAGCCUUGCAAUGAGUGCAGGGGAAGUGGGGAGACCAUCAGCGACAAGGAUCGCUGUGGGCAGUGCAAAGGCGAGAAGGUGGUGCACGAGAAGAAAGUCCUGGAGGUGGUGGUCGAGAAGGGAAUGCAGCAUGGGCAGAAGAUCACCUUCCCCGGCGAGGCGGAUGAAGCGCCUGAUACUGUUACUGGAGACAUAAUCUUCGUCCUCCAGCAGAAGGAGCACCCCAAAUUCAAGCGGAAGGGCGAUGACCUCUUCUACGAGCACACCCUGACCCUGACCGAGGCACUGUGUGGCUUCCAGUAUGUCCUGGCUCAUUUGGACGGCAGGCAGCUGCUCAUCAAGUCCAACCCUGGCGAAGUCGUCAAGCCUGAUUCGUUCAAGGCGAUCAACGACGAGGGCAUGCCCAUGUACCAGAGGCCGUUCAUGAAGGGCAAGCUGUACAUCCACUUCACGGUUGAUUUUCCCGACUCGCUGAGCCUGGACCAGUGCAAGGCGCUCGAGACUGUCCUGCCGCCCAAGCCGGCGUCGCAGUACACGGACAUGGAGCUGGACGAGUGCGAGGAGACGAUGGCCUACGACAUUGACAUCGAGGAGGAGAUGCGGAGGCGACAGCAGCAGCAGGCACAGGAGGCCUACGACGAGGACGAGGACAUGCCCGGUGGCGGCGGCCAGCGGGUGCAGUGCGCCCAGCAGUAG